UCGGGAAUCUUGCACAAUGGGCGAAAGCCUGAUGCAGCAACGCCGUGUGGGCGAGGAAGGUCCUCGGAUCGUAAAGCCCUGUUGUUGGGGACGAAGGGCGUAGGGUUAAUAGCCCCUAGCCUGACGGUACCCUUCGAGGAAGCCCCGGCUAACUACGUGCCAGCAGCCGCGGUAAUACGGAGGGGGCAAGCGUUGUUCGGAAUUACUGGGCGUAAAGGGCGCGUAGGCGGCACAUCAAGUCAGAGGUGAAAGCCCCGGGCUCAACCUGGGAAUUGCCUUUGAAACUGAUGAGCUAGAGUCCGGAAGAGGAUAGCGGAAUUCCCAGUGUAGAGGUGAAAUUCGUAGAUAUUGGGAAGAACACCAGUGGCGAAGGCGGCUAUCUGGUCCGGUACUGACGCUGAGGCGCGAAAGCGUGGGGAGCAAACAGGAUUAGAUACCCCCGUAGUCC
Molecule: ribosomal RNA, 448 nt
Filed under: uncultured prokaryote
Description: bacterial SSU rRNA
Rfam family: Bacterial small subunit ribosomal RNA
Source: RNAcentral